AGACUAUCCACGUGUCAACCGUGUGGGUCUCACCUCUAUUUACGUUUUUUUUUUAAAUAAAACCGUGUGUUUGAAAGGCUUAAAGAGUGUUGUUUUUUUUUAACAAAACUGUGUGUUGGUCGAAGCCUUAAAGACUGUUGGGCUUAUUUGGUAUUUGGCCCAUAGAUAUUGGGUGAGGUUCUUCUAGGUUAACGCAUUAGGGGAGGCGUCGAUUGAUUUAAGAAAAAAACCUAGCCGUCGACUUCUUCGAGCCGAAAGUCCGGGACGAUUCCUCUUCCGGCGUCUAAUUUCUGUAACCUGCCCUUAAUGGCUCUGCUAAGCGCGUCCUCUGACGAACGAAACGCAUUCUCUUCAUCUAACGCUUCCUGAUUUCUCCUUAUAUAGAGUUGCUCGAGCAGCUCCAGUCGCUAACGCCGCCGUCGCCUACUCCACGUUCGAAUCUCUUCGCCUCGGAAGAGCCGCUCAGUCCGUUGUUGCUCGCCUAAUCCGCUUUUGGGAUUCCCGUAACAUCAACAAGAAUGGAGAGUUUAUGGGCAUAACGAUUCUCCUCCUCGAUGAAUUGGAUUCUGUUAUUCACGGGUUCAUACCCGCUAACCGAGCCAGCCACUACCGGAACGAUUUGAAAACCGGUUCUAUUGUCAGAUUGGACCGUUUUGAAGUUGCGCGUGUGGCUCACAUGUACAAGAUCACAGAACAUCAGUUCUUGAUCCGUUUCAUUGCUUCAACGCUCCAAACGGAUGCUCCUGUGAUCAAGUUCGACAUGUUCAUGGUGAGGCAUUACGAUCACCUUCAAGUGCUUGCAAACACCAACCUUGAGCUUCCAGAUGUGGUGGGUUAAAUACAGUCCAUGCAGGGAUCCGACCUCAAGAACAAUGCAGCCACGAGCAGGGUGGUGGUCCGCUUCUUAAUCGAACGGAAUGUAUCUGUCUGCUUGUCGUUGUGGAAUGAGGCUGCAUCAACCAAAGGGCCUCAAAAAUUUUAGACAUGAGCAGAGAUGGGGAAGAGAGUAGAACGAUAUCUAACAUAGUCUACAGAGAAGCCUACAACGGAUUGCCUCAAUCUACCGAGCUAACAGAUGACGCCGAAGAAACCACCGAAGCUGAGUGACUACCCCGACGUCAGAGGAAGUGCAGGAAUCCUCGCUCUCUGCUUCGUCUGAUCCGCACGAUCGUUGCUGUUCUUACGAGUCUCCACUCAUGUCUCGCGAGAUUGAAAGCCUGAUUUUGUUACCCACGACAGAUUGAAGGCCGGAUAUUUUGAGGAAAAAACGUUUUUCUAUUUUAAUUUUAAUCCGGUUUCAACUUGAUCAAUAGUGUCGGCAGAAAACAAUUCCUUUUUCUUCUUUUUUGUUUACUUAUUUCCAUACUUUUUUUUUCAACUUUCCAAUUCAAUUUUAUCAUGGCCCAGUAAAACCUUUUAAAACAAAUUAUGAAACAAUAUUUAUUCUUUUUUUUUGGUCAAAAAACAAUAUUUAUUCUAUACUACAAAAAAAAAUAUAUUCCCUAAAAAUGAUUAGCUGAUGUCAACAGUUUCAUCUACGCUUAUGCUCACACACUGAUUAAAAAGCUAACCAAGCAAGAAUUCACAUGCAACUGUAGAUUAAAUAAAAAUUUGCGGUUUUUCCAGUAUCAGACCGAAAUUACACUCAAAGCCCACCACACAUCAAUACCAAAUAUUAUAAAACCCACAAUUAUAUAUUCAUUAUAUUGAAAUAUUAAGCUACACAGUUCAUAUUUUAUGUUAAACCAUUUAAAUUUUUAAUAAGCCAACACAAUUUCUUCCACGAAUCCAGUAAUUCAUAGAAUAGAUAGUUAUAUAACUAUAUAAUUAGAUAAAUUUAAAAAGAAAGACAAAAAAAUUUAACAAAUAUGAGAAUUUCUUAUUUUUUUCCAUUGAUCAAUCGCUUCAUACAAAUAUAAAUUGCACAGAGUGUCAGGUAAGUAGUUUAUGAGUCAAUCUGAUAUGCUAUUAGUAAAAAAAGGUUAUCAGACAAUAUUAAACUAAAAUAUUCUCCCUUCAGAAAAAAACAGAUUAACACAUAUCCUUUCUGGGUCAUGUAUACGGAAAAAAUCCACUAUAAAUUGCAUAAUUCUUAAUACCAAAAUUUAUAUUAUUUCCCUUACACAAUUUAACAGAAAUAUACUAACAACUAACUCAUUUCACCCUACCAAACCCAUGGCACAAUCUUUUGAAAAUGAAAAUGCUAAUAAUACUAAUCAUAAAUAAAUUCAUAACAAAAAGAUAGAAAAAAUAUCAACAUAUAUGAAUUCAACACUCAUUCUUAUAUCAAUCUACUGAAAUUGUGUAACAUCCAAUGUCUCGUUCAUCACCACUAAGUUAAGCCAAAAAUACAAAUGUUUGAAAAGCAAACAACAACAUCCCCUACACCAAACUACACAACGCAUUAACCAUUUACGCACCCGACAAUAUCCCGUACACAAAACUACUUAACACCAUAACAAUGUACCCGGCCCCGCGCUUGCGCGGGGGCUACGCCACUAGUUUAAUAUAGGAUUGGAGUGAGCCAUAACUUUAUACUUAGAUGAUAACCUACGUGUAUGCGCGGAGCGAAUUUUUUAUACUAAUGUUUGUUCAUUAAAUGAUUUUAACAUUUUGUAACACUACAAUAUUUAUAGAUUGUAAAUGACGAAUACAAAUGUUGGUCUCUUAAAUGUAUCAUCGUUGUUGAAGAGUAAACGUAUUACAAUUAAUUUUAUUUAUUUAUAAAACUUUAUGUGCACAAAAACAAUUAAGUUUUACGGCCGACACAAAUCACAAAAGUUAGAUAGGCAACAUCAGUUGUAAAAUGACAAAAGGGAAUUAGGUUUUCUGCUCUCAAUUUAUAUACUAUUGACUCUCCAUAAAUAAUUUCAUUUUUUACUUCUAUAGAAUUGUACUUUCGUUCUUGUUUAUGUUUCACUGAUACGAGUUUUGUUCCUUUUUAACUUCUUCUGUGAAUUCGGUGAAUUACAUAAGAGUGAAUUUAAAAAGAUGCACAUCUGUAAGAAUUAGUUCCACUCUAGAUACAUAUCUAAGAAUCAAAAUUUUGAAGAAAAUCACCGGCAAACUCUAUUCACAUGUUAGUGUUCAAAUCUAAUAUAUCAAGCUGUUAUAAAAUAUAAGUGCAUAGUCGAAAUAUAAAGGCAUGUCUAGUAUAUAUUCACCAGUUCGGUUUAAAAAUCAUCUAAUUCUAGAACAACAAAAUAAAUUACUUAUUUUAUUAACCUAUGCCUUUGAGGUUUAGUUACUUAAGAGUAGAACUUAUGAGUGAGACAGUAGUAGAGAAAGAUGAAGUAGAGAACUGAUUUCUUACUUUCUUACAUUACAUAACACUGGCCAUUACAUAUUUAUACAGAGAACAGAACACUCUAGAUCUUUCUCCAUUUAGCCUAUACUUUUUGACUUCUUACAAAGACUUAUUGACUCAAAGACUUUUACAAAGACUUUAGCUUACCAAAAGAACAGUUACCUUGAUAGACUAUAGCCAGAAUAAUCAGCCAGAAAAUCCUAUAGCCAAAAAGCUUGAUAGACUACUUGUCAAUAGCAACAUCAUCUCAGCUUUUCCCCACUGCCUAGCCACAUUCCUUCCCCCCCCUCAUCUCAGACCACUCCCCAUGCGUCCUAGACCUAGCCUAUCAACUCCCUAAAGCUGGAACCAAACCAUAUAAAUUCCAAAAUUACCUUACUAAACACCCAAGUUUCGCUCAGGUGGUUUAUGAGGGCUGGUUGCGUGCUGGAAGUGCGAGUCAAAGUCUUGGCCAUCUCUGUUGGAAACUGAAAAUGAUAAAGAGUGACUUGAAACAACUAAAUAGAGAGAAUUUUUCGAAAAUUCAAGAGAGAGUUUCUGAAACUUACAAUUUGCUGCAACAUGUGCAGGUUCAAGCGCUUGCAAAUCCGACCCCAGCUACUUUCCAGGCAGAGAGGGACUUGCAUCAAAAAUGGCUAUUCUUGCGUGACAUUGAAGAGAGUUUCUUUCGGCAGAAGUCAUAGAUCAAUUGGCUUACUGAAGGGGACCUGAACACCACCUUCUUUCAUCGCAUGUGUCAAGUUUGAGCAAACUAUAACGCCAUCAGAUGCUUCAUGACAAAUGCUGGUGACUGGAUAACUGACCCUCUUGCAAUGAGUGUACAUGCUGUUUCUCACUUCCAGUCUGUCCUUGGCCCCUCCACAUACUGCUUGCCCCAGCUUUUCUCACCCACUAGUUGGUUCACAGAGACCUGCGCCUAUCGCUGCCCUGAUCAGAUAGCACAUAAGAUGAUCGAACUGCCCACUCCUGAAGAGAUCAAAAGGACCAUAUUCAAACUAAACCAAAAUAAGGCCCCAGGGCCUGAUGGACUUACCUCAGGGUUUUUCAAAGCUUUGUGGAGUGUCAGUGGUGAUAAAGUGGUGAAAUCUAUCUCUCAUUUCUUCACUAGUGCUUUCCUCCCGACUUCCCUCAAUGCUACGAUUUUGUCACUGGUUCCUAAAUUCCCUGGUGCUACAAAAAUAUCUCAGUUCCGACCUAUUUCUUGUCCCAAUACCGUCUACAAAGCAAUCUCUCGUAUGCUGGUUAAACGUCUGAAGCUUUGUUUGCCUGAUCUGAUAUUGCCAAGUCAAACCGCGUUUGUAAAGAAUCGUUUAUUAUUGGAAAACACAAUACUGGCCAGUGAGUUGAUAAACGGUUACCACAAGAAUAAGGGUCCCAAGAAGAUUACCAUUAAAGUUGAUAUAGCGAAGGCUUUUGACACCCUAUCUUGGGAGUUUCUGUUCGCAGCUCUUCAUGCCCUUGAUCUCCCUCAUUAGCUUCUGGCUUGGCUAAAGGCGUGUAUCUGCACUACGAGCUUUAUGGUAGGUUAUAACGGCACAGUAAACGGCUAUUUCCAAGGUAAAAGAGGAUUGAGGCAAGGGGAUGCUUUGUCACCUUACCUGUUUGUAAUCGCGAUGAACUAUCUCUCCCACCUCCUAAACAAAGCAGCAGCGGAAAACAAACUCAAGUACCAUGCCCAGUGCAAAUCCACAAAGCUGACUCACCUCUCCUUUGCAGAUGAUUUGCUGAUCUUUAUAGACGGUUCCCUUGGAUCGGUACAGCAGGUGCUAGCGGUUCUCCGAGACUUUGAGCUACGAUCUGGACUGAAAGUGAGCAUGGAAAAAACUAGUUUUUUUUGCAUCAGGAUUGCCAGAAGAGGAGCUUCAAACAAUACAAGCGAGUACGGGAAUGCAGAUGGGUACCCUUCCUGUAAGAUACCUAGGCGUGCCGCUUAACUCAAGGAAAAUGAAUCUUGCAAACUGUGAGCCACUCCUGCAGCAAAUAAAGGCACGGUUCUCCUCAUUGUCAGUUAAAUCACUUUCCUUUGCAGGGAGACUGUUGCUAAUAAAAACGGUGAUCACGGGUAUUACCAUAUUCUGGUGCUCGUUUUUUAUACUUCCAAAGGCUUGUGUGGAUAAGAUAAAUUCGAUGUGUUUUUCUUUGGAAAGGGGAUGUUGACAGCAGGAACUCAGCCAGAGUGGCGUGGGACGUAGUGGUUAGGACUAAAAGCCAAGGAGGGUUAGGGGUAAAGAACCUACAAGUGUGGAAUAGGGCAUGCUGUCUGAGGUUGAUCUGGUUAAUUUUCUUCAGGAGUGUCUCUGUUUGGGUGGCCUGGUUCAAAGAAGUAGUGCUCAAAGGUUCGCUCUGUAACUACUGGACAAUGAAGCCAAGCCCAUCCUUCUCGUGGCUGGCAAAUAAACUCAUCAAGAUGCGGCACAUUGUCUUCCCCCUGAUAAAAAUGAGAGUUCAGAAUGGUCUCUAGACAAGAUUUUGGUCUGACAACUGGACUCCGUUUGGCAGUCUAGAUGUCUUUCUCAAUAGCUCUCUGUCUCGUUUGGGAAUCCCGAUCAGAGCAACGGUGGCCUCUAUCUGUAGGAAUGGGAAUUGGCGACUUCCUCCUACAAGAUCAGAACAACAACUUCAAUUACAAAGUUUUCUAACUACGGUAGAGUUAAAUGAGGAAGAUGAUCACUAUGAAUGGGAAAUAAAUGGGAAUGUUGGGUUGGAGUUCUCUACGGGAGAAGUGUAUACAUACCUGAGUGGCGAUGCAGCGCAAGUGGGUUGGGCUCCGUUGGUCUGGAUCAAGAGAGGGAUCCCAAGGCAGAGCUUCCAUGUCUGGCUGGUGGCUCAGAAUAGGCUUCCACCAAGGGAUCGGUUAUUGAGCUGGGGAAUUCAAACCGAUCAUCUUUGCCUGCUUUGCAACAAUCACGGUGCGUCUCGGAACCAUCUGUUUCAGGAGUGUGACUAUAGUUAUGAACUGUGGAGAUUAAUAACAACGAGACUAGGAGUACAGCCAAAGAGAACCUGGGAAGAAAUGACGGCUCAGCUAUUGUCCCUCCCGUCUUCUUCUACUCAUACUAGGGUCACUCUUCUAGCUUGGCAAGCUAUGACCUACUGGAUUUGGACUGAGAGAAACUCUAGACUUCACACCAACAACUUCAAGCCGGUUGACUCAAUCUUCACCAGUUUGGACAGGCAGAUAAGGAACAAGACACAAAGUUUUAGAAAUGCAAAUCCGAGUUCCUCCUCAAAGAUGUUUCAGAUUUGAAUUCGAUUCACCUGAUUCUUUCACGAUCGGCAAGAGACAACUAAACCGGUUCUAGGGUUAGUUAGGUUUCAACUAGGUUCUUUAACUAUGGGUUAGUAUAGUAAAGAGUACUAGACUUUGACCCGCGCGCCCGCGCGGGUGUUUCUUUUCGGUUUGUAUUGUUUGAUAUCUAUUUUUGUUUAUCUUUUUGUUUUAAAUUUGUAUAAACGUGAUCUUGCUAAUAAUGUAGUCUAUGCUGAUUAAAAAAUUAAAAUAAUAAAUAACAUUAGUUAUUUCUUAUUAUAUCCACAUCGUCGAAAUAAAUGUUUGCCCAUCGUAGAAUUUGUUUGUGUUUAUUUGUAUAUAAAACCAAUUAUAAAAAAUAUUAAUAUGUUUUUUAUUUAUUAAUUUGCUUUAGAAAAGAAUUUUUAUUUAUUUUUUCAAUGAAUAAGUUUGCGCGAAAGUACUACAAUUAUUUUUUUGUAUUAUAGAUCAAAUAUAGUUGGUAGAUUAUAUGUAUACGAAAAAAGCUCGACUUUAAUUUUUUUUAAUAUUCUGUAUAAAUAAAUAAUAUUUUUUUUUUAUUUAUGUAAUUUAAUAAUUUAUAGUCGAAGCAUCAGAAUAUAUUAAAAUCAGUUGGUUCAAUAUAUAAUAGCAUAUUUAGAAAUAUAUUUUUUUGAUAGAUAUAUAAAUAAAAAAUUUAAUCGACAUACCCUUUUAAUAAUAUAGAUAACAAAAGCCCGGUUGCACACAAAAAAGAUAACAAAGCCCAAUUAGGUAUUUAACUACUUUACGCAGAAAAAAAAACAGAAACAACCAUAAAAAAACUCACCUAGCGAUCUAAACAAAGGAGUCUAGGGAUCAGAUGUUCCACAGAAUUUCUUCGCCGAAUUCCACAGAAUUUCUUUCAAUCCUGUUCAAAUGGACCAGGAUGCAAUAAUCGUGAAAUCUAUAGAAUCAAGAUGUAAGAACUGGAACCAUAGAAGGAAAAAGUAGACAUUGAAGACAUCAAAAUUAAGACUGUUUGAAGAUCUGUGAUCCUUUCCAAAGAUCUGCGAUGUAAUGGACAGAGUGGUCAGAUAAAAUUGUGAUCGAGACAGAGAUAAGAGAGAAUCCAUAACUGUAAUGAGUAUCAAGCCCACAUGAAAGUCUAAGAAAAAGCUAAGUACUAUAUUUUCUUCUUUUGAAUAUCCGUUUGAGUAUCUAAGCUACGGUUGGUUGAUAUUAUUUUAGUCUGCUUGUCUUAACACUUGAAUAAACUUAUAAAGAUAAUCUUCUUUGAAGAUAAGAGUUGUUUGAAUAGGUCAAUUAAGAUGAUAUAUGUAUUAUCUAUAGCUUAGUGAAGUUUGUUUGGUUGUUUGGCUUAUAUUGCAUUUAUUUUACGUUUCCAAUGACAGAUAUUUAUUUUAUGACAUGGUUUGUUUCUAAAAUUGGUUGUAGAUCACGUGUAUAUGUCUAGAUAAGUCCGAGAAUUUAUUUUUGGUUGAGUACUUUUGUGUUAUUUUUUCACUUUUAGAGCAAGAACUCUUGUUAGACUUCGAUGCUAUGAAUUAUAAAGCUGAUUGAUAAAAGGAAAAUAUUCAACAAAGUUCUUAUUUCUGAUUUAUGUAAACUCUAUACAUGGCGUGCAGGUCAUACAAGUCUGUUUGAUACUUAACGUGCACUUUCAAGAAGACAACAUAGCAUAUCGAACAACACAAGGUUUCUGCGGUAAGGUCUCUUACUGUAUAGACAACUCUUUCUUUACGUCGUCGACACAAUUCUCCCCAAAAGAGCUCAAGCCACUAUGAAGGAAGUCAAUGAGAAAAUAAUUAGUAACUAAAAAGGAGCAAACAUGUAUUUUGGUAUCCAUGAAACUCACUACUCACUAGUUAAUGAACUCUACACCUCUGGCUGCAACUUCAUCUGAGUAGUUGGAAUAAUUGGAGGACUGGUCGGAGCUCAAGUAUUUACGCCAGAAACUCGGAGGUACUGACUGCUUAGUCAAUUGUUGUCUCUUGGUGUUGACCCGCUUCCUAGCAAUCUUCUGCUCCUUUGCAUUAUUUGUUCCCAUCAGCCCUCUUGUGCUUUUCUUCUUGAAAGGAAAGUGUGAACCAGAAGUCUAAGUUUCAAGUUGAAGAAAAAACUAGUUUUGGUUGUUCUUGUUGGGUAAAGUUCUUUUGAUUUAUGUAUGUUUUUGAUUCCUACAUACUUACUUAUGAUUAUAACAUGUGAUUAAUUAAGAGAGAAUAUCUAUGUGAAACAGAGUUACUCAGGA
Long non-coding RNA from Brassica napus (rape), 8790 nucleotides. RefSeq lists it as uncharacterized. The record is from RefSeq and is a predicted model, not a curated record. NCBI's taxonomy places the organism in Eukaryota, Viridiplantae, Streptophyta, Magnoliopsida, Brassicales, Brassicaceae. The transcript is spliced from 11 exons.